GAUGAACGCUGGCGGCGUGCCUAAUACAUGCAAGUCGAACGCUGAAGGAAGGAGCUUGCUCUUUCCGGAUGAGUUGCGAACGGGUGAGUAACGCGUAGGUAACCUGCCUGGUAGCGGGGGAUAACUAUUGGAAACGAUAGCUAAUACCGCAUAACAGUAGAUGUUGCAUGAUAUCUACUUAAAAGGUGCAAUUGCACCACUACCAGAUGGACCUGCGUUGUAUUAGCUAGUUGGUGAGGUAACGGCUCACCAGGGCGACGAUACAUAGCCGACCUGAGAGGGUGAUCGGCCACACUGGGACUGAGACACGGCCCAGACUCCUACGGGAGGCAGCAGUAGGGAAUCUUCGGCAAUGGACGGAAGUCUGACCGAGCAACGCCGCGUGAGUGAAGAAGGUUUUCGGAUCGUAAAGCUCUGUUGUAAGAGAAGAACGAGUGUGAGAGUGGAAAGUUCACACUGUGACGGUAUCUUACCAGAAAGGGACGGCUAACUACGUG
RNAcentral lists this ribosomal RNA (497 nucleotides) under uncultured bacterium. RNAcentral describes it as "partial 16S ribosomal RNA". It matches the Rfam family "Bacterial small subunit ribosomal RNA", at positions 28 to 507 of the family's 1533-position model. The record is from RNAcentral.